GUGGUGCAUGGUUGUCGUCAGCUCGUGUCGUGAGAUGUUGGGUUAAGUCCCGCAACGAGCGCAACCCUUGAUCUUAGUUGCCAGCAUUCAGUUGGGCACUCUAAGGUGACUGCCGGUGACAAACCGGAGGAAGGUGGGGAUGACGUCAAAUCAUCAUGCCCCUUAUGACCUGGGCUACACACGUGCUACAAUGGGCAGAACAAAGGGCAGCGAAACCGCGAGGUUAAGCCAAUCCCACAAAUCUGUUCUCAGUUCGGAUCGCAGUCUGCAACUCGACUGCGUGAAGCUGGAAUCGCUAGUAAUCGCGGAUCAGCAUGCCGCGGUGAAUACGUUCCCGGGCCUUGUACACACCGCCCGUCACACCACGAGAGUUUGUAACAC
Molecule: ribosomal RNA, 381 nt
Filed under: Bacillus sp. (in: firmicutes)
Lineage: Bacteria; Bacillati; Bacillota; Bacilli; Caryophanales; Bacillaceae
Description: bacterial SSU rRNA
Rfam family: Bacterial small subunit ribosomal RNA
Source: RNAcentral